AGAGUGGGAGACGCAGAAUUUGCAGCAGGCUCCAGGCUCUGAGCUGUUAGCACACAGCCCGAUGCGGGGCUCAAAAUCACCAAGAGUGAGAUCAUGACCUGAGCCAAAGUCAGAUGCUUAACUGACUGAGCCAUCCAGGUGCCCCUGUAAUUUCAUAAUUUAAAUACUAGGGGAAAUGUUGUAAAAUGUGUUCUAAUUAUUUAAGUAAAUGAAAGUAGUUUUGUGUGGUUUUACAGUCAUGGGGGGAGAUAAUGAAAUUUUGGACUAGGGAAGUAAUGGGAUAGAGAUGAGGAGGAAUCUAUAAUGACUGCCUGGUUCCUCACUUGGUUGUAGAGUACAACAGUGGUAUAAUUAACCAGCAUAGAGGCAAAUGGAGGAAGGCUGGGGAUUUUAGUUUAUGUGUAUGUGUGUAUAAGAGCGUGGACUAGAAAACUGGGAAAGGGGAAGGAGAUAAGACGUUCAGUGAAGACAUUUAAUAUGGAAGACUGUCACUGGGAUAUCCAUAUAGAAAAGUUCAGUAGGGAGCUCAGCAUGUACAUCUGAAGCUUAAGAGAAAGGCUGGGGCUAGAAGUGGAGUCACUAAGAAGUGACCACUCAGAGGUGGAUGUUGAAAGUUGGGGGGAACUGGAUGCCAUUCCUCAUAGAGACUGAAUAUAGUGAGAGGAAAUGAGAACUAACAUUAUUAAGUGGGCAGAGUAAGAGAAGGCAGCAAAAAAAAUAUAUUAAGAACAACUAGCAGAAGGAUGGAAGGGGACACCAACGGAGCUCAAUGUUCUAGAAGCCAAUGGGAGAGAGGAUUCAGGAAAAAAGGAGUUAGGAUUAUCAGAAUAUAAAGACAGGUCAAGUAAAUUGAAACAGAUCGUGGGAUUUGGCAAUUUUGUCAUUAGUAACGUUUGCUAGUAUGCUUUCAAUACAUUCAUUGAUGGUGGCAGAAUUCUGUGUUGGGUUGAAAAUUAUUUUAAAUUGAGAAAAAUUACAGCAGAUUUAUAUUAUUUCAAGGCUCUUCAUUUCUUCUUGAAAACAGAAAUAAAGGAUCAUUGUAGGGAGUAGUUUAUAGAAUUGAGGAGGAGAUUUUACAGUGAAGAGAGUUUAAUAUUUAUAAAAUGUGGGGAGAGUCAGCAGACAGAAGAGAUUAGAAAGAAGGAGGAAUAAAGGUAAAGAAAGAUCUAUAGGAGAUUAGGGAAUGUGGGAUCAGGUGUGCAGUAAAGGAGUUGACCUGGAAGAAAAGGAUACUUCCUCUGAGAUUAGGAGGAAGGAGGUGAAGAUAAUUAAAUGUAUAACUUAUAAAUGUGGAGCAAGAAGGUUACGAGGUAUGUAGCUUAUAGUUUUGAUUUUUUUUUUUUUUCUGGUAAAGGAGACAUAAAAGAUAAGGGCAUAGGGGAAGUAGCAAGUUGGAGUUGAAAUAAAGUGGCAUAAAAUAUAUGUCCUAAGGAAUGGGAGAGGGAAUUAGCCAGGGGCAAGGUUAUUAGCAGGAGAGACUGAUGUAUCUGGGAAACUAAGCUAGAUAGGAAAAGAUAUGAAGCUAUGCUGGAGACAGUGGUCUGAAAAAAAGAAAAGGGAAUGGUUGAGGAACAGAGGUUAAAAUAAGGUAAGAAAGCAAGUGUUUAGAGAGGAAGGGAGUGAAAAAAUUGGAAUGAUAGGUGGUGUGGUCACAGAUCAAGAAUAUUGGAGUCUAAGGUUGUGGAACAAUUUCUUGAUGAUCAGAAGGUUGAAGGUGUGGCUCUGGGUAUGGAUUACUGAAUGAAAUGGUUGUAGCUGGUGGAGUCAGAAUUCAAGGUUGUUGUUGGAUAGGUUGUCCAUAUGGACACUGAACUGGCACAUCAUGGCAGGAAAUGCAGGGGAGACAGAUACUGAAAGCCAAGUGCCAAAGUCCACUAUAAAUAAGAGAGAGUGACUGGGCAAUAAAGUAAUGGGAAUGAAACAGAGGAAUAAAAAGUUUCCAAGAUUGUUCAUUAUAGCCUUUUUCUCUCUCACAAAUUAAGAGUCAUGAGGGCAAGGACUAUGUCUUACAUAAUAUUGCAAAUAUUUGUUGAUUAAUGGAUAAACAAAUGAUGACCUCAUCAUUUUGAACAAAUAUUCAUGUUGAAUUAGUAUUUUUGGAAACUUUGGGUUUUUCUUAUUACAAGCAGUUGAUACUAAAGAAUAUACAACAAGAUGAGCAAGAUGUAGAAAAAAAAUUAAUAAUCCAAACCCGGAAAUAACCACUGUUAGCCCCUUUUAUUAAAUUUUCAUACCUGUUUGUUGUUUAUCCUGGCAAUAAAUAUUCAGCUAUAAUAUCCUUUAAUGGCUAAGUAUUCCACAUAAAAUAAGGAUAUACCAUAAUUUAAGUAGUAUCUUAUUUGGGGAUAUUAUAUGUGUUUUUUUCUCUAUUUUUAAAAGGGACAAUCUAACAGUUAAAUUUUUGCUUUAUUUCCUUAGGAUGCAGUCUUAGAAGUGGAUUUUCUGGUAGGGUCUUCAUAGCCAGCUUAUUUUUCUUUGUUUUAGGCCUAUUUCUAACAGACUUGUUAUGUGUAUUCUUAUUCAAUUCUGGAUUGGAUUCAGAAAAUUGGACAGUGUUGCAGGUACUGAAUGACGUGUAGGCAUGCUGAUAUCCACAAAAGUAAGAACUGACUACACUUCAAGAAUGUUAAAGAAAGUCAUUCAGACAGAAAGGAAAUGAUACCGGAUGGAAAUACAGAUCUACACAGAGGAAUGAUGAGCACUGGAAAAGGUAACUACAUGGCCAAAUAUGUAAGUUUUUUUUUCCCAUUUAAUUCUCUUUUAAGAUAACGAUUUAAACAAAAACAAUAGCAAUGUAUUAUGGGAUUUAUAAUAUGCAUUAGUAAAUAUAUGUCAAUAAUAGCAUAAAGACCAGGAGGAGAAAAAUGGAAAUAUGAUAUUAUAAGGUUCCUUUAUUAUAUGUGAAGUGGUAUAAAUUUACUUGAAAGUAAAUUGUGAUAAAUUAAAUAUGUAGACUAUAAACCCUAAAGCAACCAGUAGAAUAAUAACAAAACAGUUAUGGCUAAUAAGCCAAAAGGAUAAAAAAUGGAAUCAUAAAAAAGUACUCAAUCCAGGGGCGCCUGGGUGGCUCAGUUGGUUAAGUGUCCAACUUUUGGUUUCGGGUCAGGUCGUGAUCUCACAGUUUGUGAGUUCGAGUCUUGUGUCAUGCUUAGUGCUGACAGGAUUCUCUCUCUCUCUUUCUUUCUCUUCCCCUUCCCUGCUUCUCUCUCUCUCUCUCUCUC
This is a long non-coding RNA of Panthera uncia (snow leopard), 3221 nucleotides long. RefSeq lists it as uncharacterized. NCBI's taxonomy places the organism in Eukaryota, Metazoa, Chordata, Mammalia, Carnivora, Felidae. The record is from RefSeq and is a predicted model, not a curated record. The transcript is spliced from 2 exons.